GCAAAUAUAAUUUAAUGGUAGAAUUUAAGUCUUCCAAACUUAUAGUACGAGUUCAACUCCCGUUAUUUGCU
RNAcentral lists this transfer RNA (71 nucleotides) under Piridium sociabile. RNAcentral describes it as "tRNA-Gly". It matches the Rfam family "tRNA". From Rfam's summary of the family: Transfer RNA (tRNA) molecules are approximately 80 nucleotides in length. The record is from RNAcentral. Lineage: Eukaryota; Vitrellaceae.